UACGUAGGGGGCAAGCGUUGUCCGGAUUCAUUGGGCGUAAAGAGCGUGUAGGCGGCCAGAUAGGUCAGCUGUGAAAACUCGGGGCUCAACCCUGAGACGUCGGUUGAAACCAUCUGGCUAGAGUCCGGAAGAGGAGUGUGGAAUUCCAGGUGUAGCGGUGAAAUGCGUAGAUAUCUGGAGGAACACCGGUGGCGAAGGCGGCAUCCUGGACCAAUUCUGACGCUGAGUGAGCGAAAGCCAGGGGAGCAAACGGG
RNAcentral lists this ribosomal RNA (254 nucleotides) under uncultured bacterium. Its description in RNAcentral is "partial 16S ribosomal RNA". It matches the Rfam family "Bacterial small subunit ribosomal RNA", at positions 524 to 776 of the family's 1533-position model. The record is from RNAcentral.